AGCCGGGCCGGGCGGCGGCGGCGGCGCGGGCGGCGGGGUGGGCGCGCUCCCGAGCUCCGUGCCCGGCCGGGUGGGACGGGGCCGCGCCGCUCCCAAGGGGCGGUGGAAGCGCGGGGCUGACUCAGGUGGGAUGCGCUGGUGUCGCCGCGCCUGACCGGGGUACUGCUCUGGGGUGGUCGUAGCGUGGGAGCUGUGCUGCUAGAGAAUAAAGUGUAACACGCUGGAGUCCAAGUUCUAUUCUUUUCUGCACAGGCUAGCAGGAACAACAUUUGAAUUUCUGAACAGCAUUGUAUUUUGUGAAUAUCAAAGAAAAAAUGGGGUGAAUAAUCUCUCAGAGAUGUUUUGAGACCUCUGAGUGUCCUUUGCCUUUUCAUAAGCAAUUGCUUUAAAUGGAAAGAAGUUGUUUACAAGGAAUUAUGCCACAAGCAGUUGCCUCCAAAGAAUAACACGUAGUACUGCAUGCUUGAACUAACAGGAAAUUGGUAAGUGCUGCCUCAUCACAGUGUGUUCUUGGCGAUGCACCUGAUACUGCAGUUUCUAGUACACAAACUGUGCCAAGGUAAGCUUACUUGGGUGUGUGGGGGUGUGACACCCACAGGAGCAAAAAUGUAAAAAUUAAGCCUUAUUGCAGUGGAUAUAAGUAAAAUUAUUGGCAGCAUUGCAAGUUAAAAAUCAAUAGGUUUUGGAAAAUAAAGUGUUUACUUUUUUUCUAAGACAGAAGAGGUUUUUCUUUAAUGUUCUUAAAUUUUCUGUAUGUAUUUAAUCUGUAGUUCCUCAUUUUUCUGCUAUCACUAAGAUGAUGACCCCACUUAUUAGAGUAUUCAACUCGAAAUCCUUGGUAAACACAGUUACCCACUGUAACCGAGCCCGUUGUUAAUACCAGUAAAAAAAUGUAGGCAGGUUUUUAUUUCUUCGUUCCCUAUCCAUUUCCUUAAAAUAGGGAAAUUUGCUUUGCACAGAUAUAAAUGAUAAAAAUUGAAGGAUGGAUUAAAAAACAAAGAAUAAAGUUGAGAACGUUACAUCAGUGUGAGGUCCAAAGAACAGUGUGUUAAUAAUACUUCUGGAGCUACUUGUUUUUGUGCUGACUGAAAUAUUAUUGCUAAUUUAGUCUUAAGUUUAGGUUUAGGAUUGACAGUGAAGUUACUAAUUGAACAUAUUUUGCACAGAGUGUUCUACAGUGUAUAAUUAUCUAUACGUAACAGUGCAAAAUAGAGAAGGAGCAGAGAUAGCCAGGUGAUGUGGAACAGAGUCUGAGGGGAGCUGGAAACUCAUUCAUCCUCUCAGAAAAAUAAACUUUGUUUAAUCCUGUAAGACCAUGAACUUUCUUGCUGUAAAGGAGAGAUGAGCAAAUAGAAUUUGCUGCAUUCGUCUUUUCUGUUAAGUUAGAAUUUUUUGAAGUGAUGACUUUUAUAAAGAAGAUGUUUUAAUGGAUAAAUUAGGAAUUUUGAAUGUGUAAGUAAAGCAGAGAUUGUGGGAGCUGAUUAACUUGUGGCAGGAGAACUCUCCCAUACUGCAAUGACUUACUGUUAUACAUGGAUCCAUAGGAUGCCUUUUCUGGAUAAUGACGUUUUGUUGUUUUCUCCUCUAUGUAUCAUCGAUGUUUGUUUGAAUCUGAUUCAUGUUCUGAACAAGAAGAAAUUUUCAGGCAAGGUUUCUUCACAUUCUGCGGUGCCUUUUUUCCCUCACCUUCACUCUUCUUUGGUUCAGUCCAUGGCUAUGCUGAUGGAUUAAGUCACUUCACUCUUUCUGCUGCCUUUAAAUCUUGUUUUUAGACAUGCAAAACCACCAUGGACAUGGCAAUCAGAAGAGUACUCUUUAAUUUACUAAUCUGUCAUACAUCUGUGUUUCUGUAAGUAAAAGCCUCUUCUAAAAUACACUUGUGAAAACAAGCAAACAAAAACCCCGCCACAACAAGUACCUGAAAAUGUAAAUGAAAAUGAAGACACACAUAUUGGUGUGGUACCAAAACUGAAUUACAAACUGGGCUUUGGGAAAGUCCUUUCUCCACUCUUUGUUCAGUUUUGUAUGUUUUUCUCUUGCGGUGGUCAUUUAAUUGCAAUUAACUGCAGAGGAUGAAAUGAUAAUAUGCUGUAAAGCAGAAGUUAAGUGAGAAACAAGAGAUUUAAACCAACCUCGGGAAGGAAAGAAACCAGCUGUAUGGUACUGCAUAGUUGAUCUGUUAGAUAAAUCACCACAAACACUGCUGAAUAAAUGAACACAUAGAAAUGACUUUGAACUCUCUCGCAACCACCUUUUCCUGCAUCAUGAUUCUUGCUAUCCCUUUCCUGGAACAAAAAUAAAAAUACAUUGAGACAGCUGCACCGUGAGAAUUUCUCUACAAGUCAAUGAAGUAACCGUAAUCCUUGCUUUUCUGGAUGACUCUUGCACAACGCACUUAAAACACUGUAGAAGACACAAUGGAAUGAGAGCUGUAUAAUGGGCUUGUACAAAGAAAAACUGGUACUUAAUAGCCUUGAGAAAAAUGUGGCUGCCACAGCUCCUGACUGAAAUCUUAAAUUCACUGACUGUAUGGAUGAGCUGCAAGUUCCUUUGCCAUCACUUUCUGUUUACGGAAGGAACACAUUUGUAUAUACUUCACAGAUUCAUCUUGAAGCACUAGCAUUUUAAGUAGAUGUGAAGGAGCAUUAUGACAAGGCUUAGCAGUAUGAUUACUAGCGGAUAAAGUGUCAUCAAAUAAAACAAGAAGAGGAUGAAUUGGGAUGUCACUUCGGGAAGUAACCUCAGAGAUAAAUAGAAUACCUUUGGAAGCCUUUAGAUGACUUUUUGGAGUAUAUUAUGUAAUAAAUCUGACUAGUCAGAAAUUCAAAAUACACAAGAUUUUUUCUCUCCCUCUCCCUUCCUCCCCAGAUGUUAUGUGAAUGUCCAGAAAUUCUGGUUAUUUUUAUGUAGCCAUAAAUACCUAACAUCUGUAUCAUAUAUAAAAGCUCCAAGUGGUACACUGGAUUCAGAACCAAAUCUAAAUCAUUGAAAGACUCAAUUAAAUUUUGGGUGGUUUAGAUUAAUCACAAAAAUAUCCUUUCUCCUUAAGUUUUCUGAAGCUGCAUGGUCUAAAGUUUGUGGGUAUUUUUAUUUUAGAUUGACUUUUUAUUCCUUAUUUAAUCUUAAUUUUACUGAAGUGACAUCCUUCUAUCAGAGUAAAUGACGGUGAACAUUUACAGCAACCAUUUGAGACAGGGAUUAUUAAAUUUUCAGGCAUCCCUGAUGGAACCAGGAGGACUUCCAUAUUUUUUACCUAGUCACUGAAAACAUCCAAGUAAAUCUCUUGUCCUGUUAAAGGAUUCAUUAUGCAACAACAGCAAGCUGCCUGCUGUAGAACUGGAUAAGGUAUGUUGGAUUCAGAAGGAGGAAGUCCACACCCUUCCUUCUUCCUGGGCCAACACAGCUAGUUAAAACAUUAUUAACUGUAGCAUAAGGAUCUGUCUUCUCCUGGGAGUUACUUGUUUGUGACAAUGAUAGGAUGUAUUUCAGAGGGGUGCUAACAACUGACAUUUAGUAUUAGCGUAAAUGUUAAAUGGCUACCUAAAUCCCUGUGAACUGAAUCAUCUUUAUGUAGAAGUCAUCUUUUUAGGAUACUAUAUAUCCUAUAAUGGGAAUGCUUAACUACUAUGUCUUUUUCCACUUAUCCAGUAUAGUUCUUCUGUCCUUCAUGAAUAAAUUAGCAUGCCUAAAUAACCCUGUACUUUUAUUGAUUAGCCUAUAAACAUUUUUCUGAUUCAACUAUCCAUCCAGAAAUAACAAUCCAGUAACAAAAAUAAAGCAUCCAGUAUAACACCUUCAGAGGUGAAAAUUCAACUCUUCUUAACUUAAUGAUUUAGCUUCCAGUGAUAAUGAUACAUGAUUAAACCAUUGCUUGUGUAACAUAUCUAUUGAAGGCCAGUGUUCUUGCGCCAUUAAAAUAUUAAAGCCAAUGCAUAGUGUGUAGUCUCUAUACCACAACUGGUACACAGUAUGUUUUGGGUAAUGUCAUUCUUCUCUCAGUGUGAGCAGAUAUUCUUAGUACUCACUAAUGUCCCAGCAAGUCAAAAGGGAAAUAAAUGAGAAGAAUAUAAAAGCAGGACAGAAUGUAGAUGAGAAUAAAAGUGUGCAUGCAAAUGAAAGUAUGUGAUGGUGGCAGGAAGUAAUUGCAUUGUAAGUCUCCUACCUUUUUUUCCAGGUUUUGCAGUAUUCUCCAAACUCUGAAAUCAUAGUAAUGGAUAAAACAAUCUUUAUUAAAAAUCAACACAACAACAAAAAACCGCAAUGGCCCACUGUUAUUAGGCUGUAUAGAUAUGCCGUGUACAGCUUGUUACUAUUUGCUGAUUUUCAAUUAAUUCAUUAAGAUCAGCUCUCAUUUUUUAAUUUUCAGUAAUCAGUGUCACUCUGUUAUGAAAGCACCUCUGCAGUCUAGACAGUACAUACUCAUUUAUGUGAUAAAUAAUGAAUAAACAGUGAGUGUGCCAUUAGCCGUUAAUGCAGUAGAUUGAUUCCCUGCAGCACAUACUCUCUAUCCUUGUUUUAGCACUUAUGCCACCUGUCUCUUGCACUUACUGCGUGAUGCUUCAAUAAUGCGAAUGGGGUUCCCUGAUCAUUCUUAAUUUAGCUUGUUUUUAUUACCUCAUAAAUAGGUCGGCACUGAUAUGACAGAUGUGCAGUCAGAGGGUGUCUCACUACUACCUUCAUGAUUGCUAUUACUGCUCAUCCCAUGGUUUAACCCAAUACAGAUUACUUGUGGAUGGACCGAUAGAAUCAGUCAACCUUUUUUCUUUUCACAUAUUUCUGUUUCAACGUAUCUCUACUGCUUUGGCCAAGCGGCUAGGACAAAAGCAAUUUAAUUGAAAUCUCUGUUCCCUUUUCCUUCAGAUAUAGGAACAAGGUUUCAAAGUGAAUUAAAACAAACAGAAAGAUGAGCUCAGUAAGUCAUCAGGACAGAUUGGCAUUCAACCAAGAUUUUGAAGGAACUCGUAUGUGAAAUGGGAGAACUGCUGGCCAAGGUGCCUCACAAAUUAUAGAAAAGGGCCCCUGUGCCUGACUGUCGGUGUAACUUCUUCCUGCCAAAAACACUCUUAAAGAGGUUUGGGGAACUGCAGACCAGUAGCUGACUCUAUUCCUGAUAAGAUAGUGGAGCGCAUCUUACAGAGUAAGAUGCCUGAUCACACAGAUAAACAUCACCUAUUGGGAAGAAGUCAGCGUGGCUUCCGUAGAAGUAAAGGCCAUUUGAAGAGCCUACCAAGGUUCUAUGAGGGGAGUCAAUAAGAGCAAGAAUAAAGAAUGUUUGGGAAAUAAAAUAUUUGGGGUUUUCAAAAGUUCUUUCAUUCCACAUGAGUGAUUAUUAAAAAAAUAUAAUUUCCCAUGGAGGUGUUCCUUUAUGGACUGAAAGCUGGUUAAAGGGUUAUGAGGAUGAAUGGGUGUGAUGGUCAGUACUAAAGGUGGGGUCAGUUAUUGGAAUUCAGCUAGGAAGAACAUCUGGUUCAUGAGAGAGUGAAAAACCAAGGAAUUUUCACUUAGGAAAGAAGAAGGUUGAGGGAUGUAUGACCUAAUUCUUAAAGACAGUGCAACACUAAAAUAAAGAGAAAUUCAAUAACAUAGCAGAACCUUAGUUUAAAAUGCAUUUUAAGAGCAAUACCUCACAGAGCUUUUGGAAUCUGUUGUCUCACCCAAAAUUGUAUCUCCUUCUGACAAAUUUGUAGAGAUAAUAUUGGGCUAAGUAGGCCAGUGGUCUGAAAUAAGAAUGUUCAUAUGUUCUUGUGUAGCAUUUGAGGCUCUCCUAGAAAACAUCUAGUGUAUGUUGCAUCUCAUUGACACACCUUUGUCACUGUUUUGAGUCAAAACCGUGAAAAUAAGGGAAAAAGCCUGCAGUUUCACAGACACAAAUUAAAGACUGAUCAGCAAGAUAGAGAUGCUGCAGAAUUCAAAGGUGCAUCCAACAAAGGAAGAAAAUAGAAGGCUGAAAGAAGGAGGAUGUAUGUAGGAAACGGAGAAGACACAGUUUCAGCCUUGCUAGAGUCUGUGUGUGAACAAUGAUUUUCUGUAUGACACAGCAGUAUGCAUUAACAUUGCCAGUGGGACAGUUGGUGACUGAUGUGACUGUUGUUACUCUAUGUGAACUGGAUGCCUUUGACCUAUGACAAGGUAUUAGAUGGUGCACAGUGCCAGAUUAGAACAAGAACUUACAUUAAACUGUAGGAAAGAUGGGUAAAAUAAGGCAUAAGUAAGGAUGGACAUAACUAACUGGAAGAGGAACUUUUCCUCAAAUAAUCCAGUGAUUAAAGCAGUCACCAGGAAUAUGAAAAAGUUCAGUUCUUCCCAGUAGCAGAAAAUACUAGAAUCUGUAGCUCCAAUUCCUUAUUGUCUCCAACAUGCUGGAGGAUAUGCUAGAAGGGAAGUCUGCUUUUAAUUAUUUUCGAUGACUGUAUAUUUGGUAUAAAUAGUAAAACUGUUAUUGUAGUGGUUAGUGUACAGGUUUCAUUUCUGAAGCAGAACUGAAAUUUUCUUGCGACCUUGGCUGCUGACUUGGCUGCUGUUUUAUGCAAAGGAAAAAAAUAUAAGCAGUAGAAAAUUCUGUUGUUCCAUAGCUUAGCUAUUAAGGCUGUCAUGUGCAGACAGAGGGAGAGCUGGUCUGAAUCAACUCUGUGCCUCGUUUAUGUAUGACCAUGACUUUCUAGCCUUGUGUUUGGGUUGCUCUCUUGCGUAAAGAACUGGUGUCUGCUCAUAUCUUGGGUAGAAGUUCUAAUCCUUAAGUUACUAGCUAAAAAGUGGGGACAAAAGAGUAGUGAAAAACAUUAUUUUUGCAAUUGUCACUGCUUCUCAAAAGCAACUUUCGGUCAAAAGUAUUAAAGCAUUUGAACAAAUAUUGACAAAUAAAUUCAAGACCAUUAA
Coturnix japonica (Japanese quail) is the source of this 6876-nucleotide non-coding RNA. Lineage: Eukaryota; Metazoa; Chordata; Aves; Galliformes; Phasianidae. The record is from RefSeq and is a predicted model, not a curated record.